RNAcentral lists this ribosomal RNA (1035 nucleotides) under Trichoderma harzianum. Its description in RNAcentral is "SSU rRNA". It matches the Rfam family "Eukaryotic small subunit ribosomal RNA", at positions 63 to 1106 of the family's 1831-position model. The record is from RNAcentral. Lineage: Eukaryota; Fungi; Ascomycota; Sordariomycetes; Hypocreales; Hypocreaceae.
GUCUAGUUAGCAUUAUACCGCGAAACUGCGAAUGGCUCAUUAUAUAAGUUAUCGUUUAUUUGAUAAUACUUUACUACUUGGAUAACCGUGGUAAUUCUAGAGCUAAUACAUGCUGAAAAUCCCGACUUCGGAAGGGAUGUAUUUAUUAGAUUAAAAACCAAUGCCCCUCGGGGCUCUCUGGUGAAUCAUGAUAACUAGUCGAAUCGACAGGCCUUGUGCCGGCGAUGGCUCAUUCAAAUUUCUUCCCUAUCAACUUUCGAUGUUUGGGUAUUGGCCAAACAUGGUGGCAACGGGUAACGGAGGGUUAGGGCUCGACCCCGGAGAAGGAGCCUGAGAAACGGCUACUACAUCCAAGGAAGGCAGCAGGCGCGCAAAUUACCCAAUCCCGACACGGGGAGGUAGUGACAAUAAAUACUGAUACAGGGCUCUUUUGGGUCUUGUAAUCGGAAUGAGUACAAUUUAAAUCCCUUAACGAGGAACAAUUGGAGGGCAAGUCUGGUGCCAGCAGCCGCGGUAAUUCCAGCUCCAAUAGCGUAUAUUAAAGUUGUUGUGGUUAAAAAGCUCGUAGUUGAACCUUGGGCCUGGCUGGCCGGUCCGCCUCACCGCGUGCACUGGUCCGGCCGGGCCUUUCCCUCUGCGGAACCCCAUGCCCUUCACUGGGUGUGGCGGGGAAACAGGACUUUUACUUUGAAAAAAUUAGAGUGCUCAAGGCAGGCCUAUGCUCGAAUACAUUAGCAUGGAAUAAUAGAAUAGGACGUGUGGUUCUAUUUUGUUGGUUUCUAGGACCGCCGUAAUGAUUAAUAGGGACAGUCGGGGGCAUCAGUAUUCAAUUGUCAGAGGUGAAAUUCUUGGAUUUAUUGAAGACUAACUACUGCGAAAGCAUUUGCCAAGGAUGUUUUCAUUAAUCAGGAACGAAAGUUAGGGGAUCGAAGACGAUCAGAUACCGUCGUAGUCUUAACCAUAAACUAUGCCGACUAGGGAUCGGACGAUGUUACAUUUUUGACGCGUUCGGCACCUUACGAGAAAUCAAAGUGC